Homarus americanus (American lobster) is the source of this 664-nucleotide long non-coding RNA. RefSeq lists it as uncharacterized. Lineage: Eukaryota; Metazoa; Arthropoda; Malacostraca; Decapoda; Nephropidae. The transcript is spliced from 2 exons. The record is from RefSeq and is a predicted model, not a curated record.
UGAGCGAGUGAUCCGUGCGGCUCCCCGCGGUCAGCCCCGCGCCCCACGCCGCCGCGACCACACCUGCAAACCACCACCCACACCUGUUGUGGCUACACCGACGCCCACCGGGAACCAUCCACCACUUCUGACCGUACCCUCAACAAGAGCAGAGAUCGUCGGUGACCACAACACCUGCACAUCAACAAGUCGGGACGGGUUGGGGAUGGCAGAGGAGCAACAAGACCAGCAUCGUCAUCUACGUCAUGUCACGACCAACUGUGUACACCUUAAAACUCAAGUCUAUAUAGUUCAGUGUUAAGUUUGAGGAGGAACUGGUGCGUGAAACACACCCUCCUCCUCCGCCACACACACACACACACACCUCAGUCUCACGGCCGGCAGCUUCUCCAACGAAGGAUUUGUGGCCUUCUCUCCCCCCUCACCUCCCCUCAUCCUUUCCCUCUCAAGUCCAUCCACCCGGUUAUUUAAACACACUCACACCAUUCCUGGAUACACUCACAACACACUCGAACCAACUCGUUCCGCUAAAAGGUAUAAUUCUUAGAGAUAAAAUACACUGGGUGGUAGCAGCUCUUUUUCACGCUUGACUCCCCAGCCCACCAGAUCAGCUGAUAGAUUUGGCGGGAGAAAAAAAAAAAGGCUACCAGAGUACAAGUGUGGA